RNAcentral lists this ribosomal RNA (1557 nucleotides) under uncultured Cenococcum. RNAcentral describes it as "eukaryotic LSU rRNA". The stretch from base 970 to 1557 matches the Rfam family "Eukaryotic large subunit ribosomal RNA", at positions 1 to 593 of the family's 3401-position model. Lineage: Eukaryota; Fungi; Ascomycota; Dothideomycetes; Gloniales; Gloniaceae. The record is from RNAcentral.
AGGAUGAUUCCUUCCGCAGUGUACACUUGUAGAAGCCUUUGCAGCCACGCAAGUGGUAGAUCUAGGCGACUUUAAAUAAUCCUAGGAUCGCCAUGCAAGUCGGCCCACGCAUGUGGUGCCGGCGACACUUUCGAAUUGACGGGGAUACCCUAAAGCCUGUCGCACCAACUCUGUGUGGGAAACCGCUGGAGGGCCCGUGCUAACUACACGGGGUGGUAACAGACGACAUGGAUACCUCCACGCCUUUGGUGUGGAUACUAUGGGCAAUCCGCAGCGAAGCCCCUAAGUCCGGCCGCCGGAUAUGGGGAACGUUCACAGACUAAGUGGAAGUGGGUGGAGCGUUCGCCGCUCUGCUUAAGAUAUAGUCGGGCCCCUUAGGAAACUAAGGGGGUGAGUACACUGCUCGAAAUUUAAGCUUGAACGUGUCUCGGAUAGCGCUCAUGUUAGAAUUUCGAGACUGUCGACUGCCUCGCGGUUUGACAGCUCUUAAAACGUUCCGUAGGUGAACCUGCGGAAGGAUCAUUACAGAAAGUAAACGCGGAUCAAACCGCGAACUUUUAAACCUUUGACGAUUGACUCAUGUUGCCUCGGCGGGUUCUCCCGCCAGAGGAUACAUAAACUCCUGUUUUAACGGUGUUGUCUGAGCUACAAGCAACGAAUCAAAACUUUCAACAACGGAUCUCUUGGUUCUGGCAUCGAUGAAGAACGCAGCGAAAUGCGAUAAGUAGUGUGAAUUGCAGAAUUCAGUGAAUCAUCGAAUCUUUGAACGCACAUUGCGCCCCUUGGUAUCCCGAGGGGCAUGCCUGUUCGAGCGUCAUUUCACCACUCAAGCAUGGCUUGGUGUUGGGCGACGUCCCCUUUAGGGACGCGCCUCGAAACGCUCGGCGGCGUGGCACCGGCUUUAAGCGUAGCAGAAUCUUUCGCUUUGAAAGUCGGGGCCCCGUCUGCCGGAAGACCUACUCGUAAGGUUGACCUCGGAUCAGGCAGGGAUACCCGCUGAACUUAAGCAUAUCAAUAAGCGGAGGAAAAGAAACCAACAGGGAUUGCCUCAGUAACGGCGAGUGAAGCGGCAACAGCUCAAAUUUGAAAUCUGGCUCUUUUAGGGUCCGAGUUGUAAUUUGUAGAGGAUGCUUCGGCGUCGGCUCCGGUCUAAGUUCCUUGGAACAGGACGUCAUAGAGGGUGAGAAUCCCGUAUGUGAUCGGUUGCCCUUGCCAUGUGAAGCUCCUUCGACGAGUCGAGUUGUUUGGGAAUGCAGCUCUAAAUGGGAGGUAAAUUUCUUCUAAAGCUAAAUACUGGCCAGAGACCGAUAGCGCACAAGUAGAGUGAUCGAAAGAUGAAAAGCACUUUGGAAAGAGAGUCAAAAAGUACGUGAAAUUGUUGAAAGGGAAGCGCUUGCAACCAGACCUGCCUGCAGUUGCUCAUCCGGGCUUUUGCCCGGUGCACUCUUCUGCUGUCAGGCCAGCAUCAGUUCGGGCGGUCGGAUAAAGGCUUCGGGAAUGUAGCUCCUCUCGAGGAGUGUUAUAGCCCGUUGCGAAAUGCGGCCAGCCUGAACUGAG